RNAcentral lists this transfer RNA (62 nucleotides) under Elaphe quadrivirgata (Japanese four-lined ratsnake). RNAcentral's name for it is "tRNA-Met". Lineage: Eukaryota; Metazoa; Chordata; Lepidosauria; Squamata; Colubridae. The record is from RNAcentral.
AGCAAGGUCAGCUAAUCAAGCUAUCGGGCCCAUACCCCGAAAAUGUCACACGACCCCUGCUA